CACACAGAAAUCUUAUAUGCAUAGUAAUUGAC
RNAcentral lists this transfer RNA (32 nucleotides) under Markea atlantica. RNAcentral's name for it is "partial tRNA-Thr". Lineage: Eukaryota; Viridiplantae; Streptophyta; Magnoliopsida; Solanales; Solanaceae. The record is from RNAcentral.